This 1512-nucleotide unclassified non-coding RNA is filed under the name Octopus sinensis (East Asian common octopus). Its description in RNAcentral is "probable UDP-sugar transporter protein SLC35A4, transcript variant X5". The record is from RNAcentral. Lineage: Eukaryota; Metazoa; Mollusca; Cephalopoda; Octopoda; Octopodidae.
UCUUUCUCUCGCUCCCUCCCUUGUCACAUUAACAUCCAUGAAGAGGUCGCACGUGUGAAUAACAUCUCGGUUUAACUACCGUUACACAUAUUUUGUAUACAUAAAUCUAUGUAUAUAUUUACAUAUAUAUACACACGCGCUAGCAUUUCCAGACAUAAUGUAAAACAUCGUUUGUUGGUCAUUUCCUGAAAAAAAUCUUUCCAUGCAGUGGAAUAGAGAGAGACCUCUGCAGGCAACUAAUGAACAAUAAAUAACAAUUCCAGGAGUAUAUUUUAACCCUCAACUGUCUAGCAAUGAAGACUUUUAAAUCAUAUUCUGGCAUUAAAAUCAAAGUGGACUCAACACAAAGACGCUCAAUGAAGGAUACAACUGUUAAUAUUCCACUAUCAGGAGAUGAGAAGAAUGGCAAAGAACUUGUUAAUGGAUGCCUUUGGCGGAUUAUGCUUCUUUUUGGGGUGUUCAUAUAUGGAUCUUAUACAGUAUUGGUGCAUCUCUGUGAAAAAGAUGGCAAAAUUCCUUUUAGUUCUUCAUCAAUGGUUCUGAUCACAGAAAUAAUGAAGAUUGUGAUCUCUGUAACCUUAUUUUCCAUCGACAGCUGGAAAACUGGCUUCCAGGUUCCAUCUUUUUGGUUUUGUAUUCCAUUCGCAGUUCCAGCCAUUCUGUACUUCAUAAAUAACAACAUAGCUGUACAUAUGCAACUACAAAUGGACCCCACAACUUACCAGGUCUUGAGUAAUUUAAAAAUAGCCACUACAGCUUUAUUAUACCGGUUAAUUAUUAAACGGCCUAUAACAUCAAUACAGUGGAUAUCUCUUGGUUUGUUAACUGUUGCUGGUGUUUUUGACAGUUAUGGUGGCUUCCAAGCGAAAGGUGGUAAAACUGCUGGAGAAAUCCAUAUAUCUAUUAAAGGUUUAUUCAUGAUUGUCCUCUACUGCUUCAUUUCUGGACUCUCCGGGGUCUACACAGAGUAUAUUCUGAAACAAAAUUCUCAGAGUUCCCUUCAUUUGCAAAAUAUUUUAUUAUAUUCCUUUGGUAUUGUACUCAAUUUUGGUAUGUGGACAAUUCAAGCCAGCAAUCAUUAUGAAGAAAAAGAUAGUUUUUCCCUUUUCAAAGGAUAUUCUGUAUACACAUGGAUCAUUAUCAUUACUCAAGCUGUCAAUGGUCUCAUCAUGUCCGCCGUCAUGAAACACGCCAGCAACAUCACUCGUCUAUUUAUCAUCUCCUGUGCUAUGCUCAUCACCACUGUACUUUCCAUCCUCAUCUUCAAUCUCCAGCUGAACAUCUACUUUGGUUGUGCCUUCAUUUGUGUUAUUAUAGCCUUGGCUCUUUACCACACCUAAUGGCCUGGUGGGGUGGAGAGGCUGUCCCCUGGUCACAGUGGCGGCGGCAGUGGUGGUGGUGGUGGUGGUAGUGGCGUCAGCGGCGGUAGUGGAGUUGGGAUUGAGUGAAAUUAGUCAUUUGGCCAUUGUUACAUGCAGUGUGUGAGGGGGGGGGUGCCUUGGGAGAGAGAGA